UUUAAUGUUCUUACGUAUUCUAUUUAAUAUUGUAUUUCUUGUGUCCAAUACAGUUUAUGGCCAUUGUAUACAUAUGCACUAAGUAAAUGUUACUAAACGGCUGGCUGCAUGAGUGACUGCAUGAAUAAAUAACUGUAUGAAUAGCUUGAAGGAGAAAGAGAAAGUCUUCAGGCCCAGCGAAAUGAUGAGAGAGAAAAGAGGGAGAGAAUGAUUCUCAUACCGACGGUUUUAAAUGUGCAAUAACUUUAUGAUUCUUGAGUGAAACUGGCUAUCAAAAUCAGUCCCAACUCAAUACCAUCUGAAAAAGAAGAUCAUUCUUGGAAUAAGAGCCCUUUCGGUCGGAUGUGUCAGAGCCAAUCACAGGCUCCGGGGUCCCGUGGUGACUGCCGGCCGCCACAUACGGUGGGUUCUGAUAAAAAUCACAUCUGAUAAAUUCACUUCUGCUUGCCUGCUUGGCUGGAAAGAAGGUUUUAGUCCAAAAUCAACAAUGAUGAACUGAAAUCUAUCGGGCUGGGAAAUGCUUUUAGCCCUCCCUCUGGGCUGUACCACUUCACUACUUUGCUUCUCCUUUUGCCUUCCCACAUUGUCCCCAAGCCCAAGGAAGCAAAAGGUAGACACUGGGCGGGGCCCUUCCCUCUCUCUGCAGCAGUGGCAGAAGGAGCAUGUCUCCUCACUCCUGAUAUGCCUGGCCUCAUGCUACCUGCAGCCCCUUUGCCGUCUUUUCCUGCCUUGGCUACUGAAAGCAACGUCUCCUGGCACCACAGAAUAUGCAAGGUGAUUUCUCUGCCUUUUCACUUAUGGCAGAAACGCCUUAUGAUAGCACCUUUUUUAUCGUCAUUCCUGUCUUUUUUUGAUGCAUGUGGUGAGGGAGAACAGUCAAAUAAGAAGCCUUUGGAGAAACUUACAAAGGAGCUGUGUGUCAUGGCAGAGAUGGCUGAUUGCAAUGAUUUAACUGUGAGCCUUUGUAUCCACCCUCAUGCUCUUACUCACUCUCACAUCCUCAUACUUCCACAUCCUGAGCCCCAAAAUGACUUUCUUUCUUUUUUCUCUGGGAACGGAGCCUGGGUCUGGACCAGGGAGUGGCCAGCCACAAAGAGAAUAUUUUGGAGGUGUAUCCGGUCCUCACAGUGGUGUGAAAAUAACAGCAGAUGUCAACAGGAGUUGAAAGGCUGUUGGGGACUUUCAUGGAAGAAAGACUGAGGACGUCUUGGAGGAUUCUUUAACCCCUCACCCAUAAUGAUGGUACAAAAAUUGUCAGAAUCAUGCAGAGAGUUUGACGGGAGCUCUGACAGGUGAACUCAAGGUGGCAGGUGAACUUGAGGAGUGCAUAUUGACUUAGCAAGUAGCCUCAUCGGAGUUUGUUAGAAGCAGAAAAAACAUGGGACUUUCUCAUGGACUACAUGUAGAGUCAUGCAGGAAAUAAUGUUGUGUUGGGUUGUUUUAGACUCAGUACAGAGAAGGCUGGCUUAAGGAAAUCUCAGAAGAUAGAAGCCAAAAAAUGUUCAAGGGCUUUGGAAAGAGCAAGCAACCAGACAGAAUAGAGAUAGAUCAAUGAAAUAGCAAGUAGGAGGAGCAUGUUUCCCAAAGUACUCAUGAAAGCGCCCAUGAGAAAAAGCUUCUCGUAAAUGUCUAGGAAUGUAAAGCAAUAUCCCAAGAAUACCAGUCAAAUAUGAAUUUUCUGGCAUCUCAUAAGUAUCUUUUCUUCUAUUUCUCCAAAUCUAGAGGGAUCACAGACCUCAGGAAACAAGCUGGGGAAAGAAGAACAAAGAAAGAAAGAAAAAGCCCUAGCUCGGAUUGGAGAGAAAAUAAUUUUAAUCAAGUUUGGAAUUGCAAUUAUUACAUGGACUGGAUUUUUAAUAACCUAAGAGUAAUGAGAAAUGUCAUGAGAACACUGAGUUCUCAUCAAGGGCAGGAAAAGAACUUGCCACACUGAAUAUAUUUUUAAAGAGCAGUGAGAGUCAAAAUUAAGAUGCCUCAUGAUCAUAUCCCAGUAAUUCGGUUUGUCCAACCUACCAGUGCCAUUAGUUAUUUGUAUAUUUUAAGCCUUUUUGCCUGAAUUACCCAAAUUAUUGUCUCAAUUCCUCCUCACUUUACCUGUAGAAAUGUAAACUGAAGAUUUUGCUAUUUCAUUGUUUCACUUCUAGGAAUUUUUUUUAAAUAACAGUAUAAUAAGUUGG
RNAcentral lists this long non-coding RNA (2177 nucleotides) under Pan troglodytes (chimpanzee). Its description in RNAcentral is "lncRNA (ENSPTRG00000054151.1)". Lineage: Eukaryota; Metazoa; Chordata; Mammalia; Primates; Hominidae. The record is from RNAcentral.